Molecule: long non-coding RNA, 1233 nt
Filed under: Anser cygnoides (Swan goose)
Lineage: Eukaryota; Metazoa; Chordata; Aves; Anseriformes; Anatidae
Description: lncRNA (ENSACDG00005000311.1)
Source: RNAcentral
AUGUGUGUGCACAUGUUUGUGCAUGGGACGUUGUGUGGGUGUGCAAGUAUGUGCUGCUUGGGGUGUGCAGUGGGUGUGGGUGUGCAAUGGGUGGGGGUGUGCGAUGGAGAGGGGUGUGCAAGGGAUGGGGUGUGCAAGGGAUGGGAAUGUGCAAUGGAUGGGGUUGUGCAAUGGAUGGGGUUGUGCAAGGGACAAGGAUGUGCAACGGGCAGGGCUGUGCAAGGGAUGGGGUGUGUGCAAUGGGCAGGGAUGGAUGCAACGGAUGGGGAUGUGCAAGGGACGGGGUGUGCAAGGGAUGGGGACGUGCAAGGGGCAGGGAUGUGCAGCGGGCAGGGAUGUGCAAGGGAUGGGGUGUGUGCAAUGGGCAGGGAUGGAUGCAACGGAUGGGGAUGUGCAAGGGACGGGGUGUGCAAGGGAUGGGGACGUGCAAUGGACAGGGCGGGGAUGUGCAGCGGGCAGGGAUGUGCAAGGGAUGGGGGUGUGCAACAGACAGGGACGUGCAAUGGACAGGGGUGUGCAACGGGCAGGGACAGAUGUAACGGACGGGGACAUGCAAGGAAAGGGGUGUGCAACGGAUGGGGUGUGCAAGGGACGGGGAUAAAGCAGCCACUGAGCCCCCCCUCGGGCUGCAGACGGGGGAUUCCCUCCUGGUUAAAGGGGGUGUUUUGGAGCCCCCCCCCCCUUAUCCCGUCCCUCCGGGCACCCAUGGGUGCCCCCCCCCCGGUGCUCGUGCACACUCGUGUGAGCUCACACGUGCUCGCUGUGCCCUGGGGGUGCCCGCAGCUGCGGGGCCGCAGCCCCGGGGGCAAAGCAACCCGACCCCGCCGGGCCCUAAAGCACAGCAGGGAUUUGGGGCGGUUUGGGUUAUUUUGGGGCGGUUUGGGGGUUUUUUGGGGGGGGUUUUUUUUUUUUCAGCGUGGCUCCGGCUCUCUCUGGUGGCCAAGCGGCUGCACUGCACCCAGCCCACGGACAGCGGGGCCACGGAGCAGCACCGGGGGUCUCGGGGGGGGGGGGGGGGUCACGGAGCCCCCCCAAACCCCGACCCCAAACCUCGACCCCCGGUACCGGGCCGGGCCGGGCCGCGCCCGUCGCGCUCACGGCCCCGCGCGUCCCCGAUGCUUUUUGUCCCUCGGCCCGCUCCGUAGCGGCGCUGCGAGGGGCGGGGCCAGCCGGGGGGUGAAGGCCCGGAUGCGGAAGUGCCCGCUUCUUUCUGCCCACAGGCCGCAGCUGUGA